Brienomyrus brachyistius is the source of this 3259-nucleotide long non-coding RNA. RefSeq lists it as uncharacterized. The transcript has 3 exons. NCBI's taxonomy places the organism in Eukaryota, Metazoa, Chordata, Actinopteri, Osteoglossiformes, Mormyridae. The record is from RefSeq and is a predicted model, not a curated record.
GAUCUGCAAACACAGAGAAACCACAUCCUGAACACACCGGCAGCGUGGCGUCAUCAAGUUCUGAGUAAUGAGCAGGAAGUUCUACAGUGCUGUUCCAGGCCAUGGAGAUGUACAGUCAGCUUCUAAGGAGAGCUGCCAUGGUACCUUCUCAGAGCGGAAACCAGAAUUUCAUCAGAAGAACAUUCAGCUGUACAGAAGGGCCGGCAAUGACAGACAGAGGGUACAAUAAAGAAACUGAAUGUGCCAGAUGAUCGGAAAUGUAUGAGGAAAUUCACCGGACCGAUUCUGGUUGUGCUGCACCAUAAGCGCAGGCAUAAUACACGCCACUAGAGGGCUCUACGGCACAGCAAACAAGGUACAGUUGGGAGAACGUUUGGAUUCAUUUCUGCAUGCACAGCUCCUAAAAUGUGAAGUGAUUUUCAAGUAAUGGUAAAGAUACGCAACACAUACAUUUUACAUAGCCAUCGAGGAACAAAAAAAAUGUUUAAACAAUCACUGUCAUUAAUGGAAAAAGCAUCUGAAUCUCAACAUUUAGGAACUACUGGAACCUCCUUUAUUGCCAGUGACCUCAACCAAAGGCUUUCUGUAGCUGCUGAACAGUUAGUAAGUAUUCUGGCCCAUACAAAACAGUUUGAGUAUAUAUACUCAAUCUUUGGGGAUGUUUCACCUUAAUUGCCUGCUUCAGAUCGAAUUACAGCAGAGUGUCAGCACUCUUAUUUGGCCAUGUUAACGAAUUCCCUCUGAAUCACACCAUUUCGGAAUCACUCCCGUGUUUUUGAUCAUUGUCAUGUUAUGUAUCCCAGCUUCCAUUUUCUAGAUUAUAGUCAGAUACCUUUAAAUUCUUAAUACAAUGUCUGUAGGAAGCAUAACCCCUGACAUAGGAACCCUGACCGCAGGAAGAUGGAUGCAACAUAGUUUUUCCUUUUAUAAUUUAAAGGCGUCCAGCACCUGUGGCAGCAGAGCAGCCUUCUCGCCGUUCUUCACCACGCUGCUCAGUCUGAAUACGUUUUUGUCUCAGGGUAAGCAGGUUUUUGUGUUCUCUAAAAAUAAUGCCUUUGUACCUUUACCAGGUAGUUCAGUAUUUAUCUCAAUCCAGAACAUUGCUCCUGCCAUACUAGGGAAUACUCGGGUGGUCAUCGGCAAAUUCAAGAAAGGUAGCAGUGGUUCUGUGAAUGCAGUGGCUCCUUUACUGGCCUCCUCCCAUGAACACGGCUCUGACUCAUGACACAGGCAUUGUUACGGGUUCGACAUCCUUGUCUGCUGUUCAGGGGACACCCACUUGUAGAGAGAUUAGCAACAGUGCUGAAUUUCUUCCAAUUGUAAACCAUCUGCCUGACUAUGAUGGGAUGGUGAGCAAAGUCUUCAAAAAUCUUCUAUAUCCCCUUCCAGUCUUUUGAGUCCUUCUACUGAAGCCCUCUUUUGACUGAGCCAUAUUGAACUGUUGUGAGCAGGCAACCAAUCCUGGUCUGUGUUUUUUCUUCUUCUUUUCUUAUUAUUUAUUAUUAAAAAUCCACAUGUGAAAUGACCAGAACAUCUGACUACAAGAGGUUAACAUCUUCACAUACAUUUCCCAAUGACCUUGAAUUUUUGAGCCAUCUAUCCCAAUGUGAAGUCUAAAUGAAAAUAAGAUCAUAUUUUCAGAUCCAUUCACGCAGAAAUGUACACAGCUCCAAAGGCUUCACACCCUUUUUCUGUACAAUUGCAGAUGAUGCGAUCCAUAAACUACUCUGGGUGGAGCAUAUUUUUGGGAAAUACGUCAUCUUGUUACCUUUACAUGGCUUACAAAUCUCUUUAGAAUCGACACUCAGACUCUGCCAGCCACCCUGUGGAGAUAAUCUUCUAUUUCUAGCCAAGGACAUUAAUCAUACAUCUUGUUAAAGGUCUGAUACUAUUAUCAGUAAGACCAGAUCAAUUUUCAGAGUAUGGUAAUGUAUCACAAUUUGUUGUUGCACUUUGGAUGUCAAAGGCGCAAGCUCAAGAAAAUGCAUACUUCUCUUCUUAUGGGCCCUUACACAAAAUAACACAUUCCUUGUGCACAUGGACUAAGCUAAUAUAUCCUCAUCAUCACUGCAGAUUUUCAUGACCAUGUUAACACUAGCAUGAAUACCACCGUUUUUCAUUGAGCCUCAGGCCCUGACAGAACAGAUAAAAUCGCAGGUAUUUGGAGCUGCACCCAGUAACUAGCUUCUGUAGUUCGCUGGCCUGCAGACACCUGUCAUACAUUUUACAGUUACAUGAGUCAUCCCCAGGACAGAGGAACAGGCCCUCUUCGAACGUAAUAUGCUAUAAAAUAUAAGUUCUGAAUUCUGUAAGGCGUAUUUGCAGUCUGUAAGGGUUCAUCACAGCAAACCCUGUCCACGUACUGAGUCAUCCUACGAUUAGCAAGCUUUGGGAACAAAGUGUCCCGGCAGGUUCCCGAACCUACACGAGUUUUUGUUAUGUUCAAUCUUGAGUAUUAUCGAAGUGCCAACAAUUACUUUCAUACUUCAGAAAUGGAAAGACAAUCUCCAUUGUGAACAAAACGGAUCUUACCGAAUAUAUGGACUGGCGGCAGCUAAUAUAUUUUUCUGCACCGGGAUCUCCUCGCCGUCCAGAACCAGAACGGCAUCUUGAAAACACUGGUCCUGCCAGAAGGACCGAAGGGCACGGAGCAGCUUUUUGGAGUGCUGCGGGUCCGCCACGACAGAACCAGCAACAGCAAGAUCUGACCCGGCGUCCGACGUCGUGUGAGGUCUGUAAAAUUAAGGUAUGAGUAGGAUCAUUUAGAAAAGUUACAGCACAGAAACAUCGCCACUAAUUUUAGCAAGCAAGCGAAUGAUAUGCAAGAGCCAGUUCUGCUGAUAGUAAUUUAAGUAAUAUUGGGUGGAGCAUAUUUUUGGGAAAUGCAAGACAAAAUAGCAGCGCACAUGCUUUAAAAUCUUUUCCCAAACUCAAAUAAAAAUCCCUUACUGCUGCGUGCCCGAACCUGGCUCUCUUUUCGAGGGUCGACAACAAGCCAUGAUGUGCUUCGCCGCCGUUCCGGGAGUAACAACAGACUCGCUUGUUUUUCCCUAAACGUCAUUUUCCGGCGCCUAAAAGUCCCUGGAAGAUGACGCUAAAUAGGAGCGCGCUGUACAUGGGUUGUAUCUUUCUGGCAUGUUUUUCAGUGUAAAAAUUAAUUUGGAUUGUAACCUUAAGAUGUAAGCUGUUAUAUUCGUUUAUGUUUAGCUUUAUAUCACUCAUUGUAUUGCUGUACAAUAAAGGAACACCUUUAUAGUGA